RNAcentral lists this long non-coding RNA (1093 nucleotides) under Sus scrofa (pig). Its description in RNAcentral is "lncRNA (ENSSSCG00060022430.1)". The record is from RNAcentral. Lineage: Eukaryota; Metazoa; Chordata; Mammalia; Artiodactyla; Suidae.
AUGAGGUGCAGUCUCUUCCCAGGCUCCACGAGUUUUCGGGGCUCAAAGAAACACCAGCAGCGUCCCGGGAGGAGAAAGAGGGUCCCCCGUCCUUUGGGGCCGCGCGGGACCCGGCUGCGGGGGCUGGACUCCCCGCUACCCAUUUCCGAAAAGUCGCCGCAGAUUUUCGGCCACCAGAAGCCGCCUAGUGCAAGGCAAGCGUCGGAGUUUGGAGAGGCCUGGGCAGGUGUGACCGGGUGGUGCAGAGGCUUCUCAAGAAAGGGGCAGCUUUUUUGCGGGGUGUGUGUGUGUGGGGGAAGCUUUCGUCCGAAAUUUAGCUCCGCUGGGGCUUGGGAUAUUUGCUUUUCCUCCCCAACGUCUGCUUUAUUCUCUUCCAAAGAGCAUGUUCUGUUGCCGGAUUCUGGGCAUUUUCCGACCUCGUCAAAAAGGAUAUGCCGGGAAAGGAACAUGCAGAUAGUUUAACAUUCUUUGGUUGGAGUCUGAGGAAGUGUCACCUUGACGCUAAGGAGACUUGGCGCUUUCAGGGAGUGUAAAACUUGCAAAAUUAAGAUCCCCCCCUCCGUCUUUCCUAAAGACAACUUUCUCUUCCCCUGCCCCAGCUUUCUUCAGCAUAAAGCCUUGAUGAGCCCUAGGCUGGAAUCACUGGAAGUUAAGGAGUCUGGGGGGGGGGAGAAAGAACUAGAAAGUCCUGGAAGUGGGGCGGGAGUGGCUUUAGAUUGAAGCAAAGGUCAGGAUGACCCCAGGGGAGAAGCCUUUGUCGAGUUUCCCCCCCCCACUUCCUUUCUCUCCCAUUCCUGCUUUCAGUCCUCACUCAGGCUUGUAGUUAACAGUAGUAUUUUUAGAUUUAAAAUUUUGCCAAGUGAAAUUUUUCCUUAAGUGUACGUGUUACAUGCAAAAAAAAAUACAUAAAUUACGUAUAUAUAUAUAUGAGGGGGUGAGAGGAAACUUUAGGAGGUGAUGUAUUUGUUUGCAUAGCUUGUGGUUUUGCCACUGUAUGCUUCUCUCCAACCUGAUGAAGUUGCUUAUAUUGAAUAUUUAUGGCUUGUUUGUGUGUCAGUCAUACCUCAAUAAAAUGGUUUUUAAAAAAGUUGCA